UACGUAGGGGGCAAGCGUUGUCCGGAUUUAUUGGGCGUAAAGAGCGUGUAGGCGGUCAGGUAGGUCCGUUGUGAAAACUCGAGGCUCAACCUCGAGACGCCGAUGGAAACCAUCUGACUAGAGUCCGGAAGAGGAGAGUGGAAUUCCUGGUGUAGCGGUGAAAUGCGCGGAUAUCAGGAAGAACACCCGUGGCUAAGGCGGCUCUCUAGUACGGUACUGACGCUGAGACGCGAAAGCGUGGGGAGCGAACAGG
Molecule: ribosomal RNA, 253 nt
Filed under: uncultured bacterium
Lineage: Bacteria
Description: partial 16S ribosomal RNA
Rfam family: Bacterial small subunit ribosomal RNA
Source: RNAcentral